GCACCAUUCUCUUGAUUCAAGAGUCUUUCUCUCCUUAUCCCCCGAGCAUUUCGGUCCCUCGUGAUUCGACUUCUCUUUCUGUAGUUUUAGUAUAGUAAGGUGAGCGCUGAAGCGCUGCACGAAUCUUUCUUAGAAAGAUUCAGCGACGAAGUUCUGCCCCUGCAGAGCCCGACUCCUAGCUAAAAUCCCCUUGAAAGUUUCGUCAAAGGAAAUUAUUUUAAAGUAAACGAAGCGCUGUCCGAGUACCGAGUCACCACCUUCUCAGGUGUUGAUAUGAAGUCACAAUACACUGAGAGAUUUAAAGAGAUUUAGAUCACUAGUGUAAAUAAUUGUAAGUUCUGUUUAUGCUUAUGUUUCUGUAUUAACGAUGACAUCCCAAACGUUUUAAAAUGAAAUAAAUACGUUUCAUCGAAAAUGUUUUAAUAACGUAUUUACCAUGUUUUUCUGGGAACAGAUUCCGCAACAUUUUUAUAAAAUGAAGUACUCUGAUUUUUAUAAAGCAUAAACAAAAUCGGUCUUUUCUGGCCGUGAAAAUGGGGAUGUCACAGUUGAAAGGUCGAUUUUGUGAAGAGAGAUUGAAGUCUAAGGAGCAGAGCAAGGAGAAGGUUGUGGAUCUGAUUUCUACUUCAUGUUAGCAUCAUCUUGUAGGUAACAAGUCAUCAACUUGACUUCUUUCUAGCUAGAUCUCUUCAUGUAAAGGUUUAGGGCUAUUUCUAGUUUGUUGUGGAGUUUUUUUUUUUUUUUGGUUUUAGGCAUGAUCUGAAGUUGUAACUUCAGAUAUAGACUCCUCUAGCCCCUUAUAGUCAUAAUGUUGUAGUCUUUAGCAAGUUUUGGCCUCAGCCUUACCUAAAACUUCUUCCUUAGCUUGGUUUUGGCAUUUUAAGACCUUGUAUGCACGUAAAGUUUGCAACUUUACGUGGAAACCAUGCCCUAGGAGGCUAGAUCUACAAUUUGGAGCCUUGGUCUUACUUAAAAGCGUCUGAAUAAG
Molecule: non-coding RNA, 988 nt
Organism: Lactuca sativa (garden lettuce)
Lineage: Eukaryota; Viridiplantae; Streptophyta; Magnoliopsida; Asterales; Asteraceae
Source: RefSeq, a predicted model, not a curated record